GACGAACGCUGGCGGCGUGCUUAACACAUGCAAGUCGAACGGAAAGGCCCCUUUGGGGGUACUCGAGUGGCGAACGGGUGAGUAACACGUGAGUAACCUGCCCUUGACUUCGGGAUAACUUCAGGAAACUGGGGCUAAUACCGGAUAGGAAUCCUUGCUGCAUGGUGGGGGUUGGAAAGCUUCGGCGGUUUUGGAUGGACUCGCGGCUUAUCAGCUUGUUGGUGGGGUAGUGGCUUACCAAGGCUUUGACGGGUAGCCGGCCUGAGAGGGCGACCGGCCACAUUGGGACUGAGAUACGGCCCAGACUCCUACGGGAGGCAGCAGUGGGGAAUAUUGCACAAUGGGCGGAAGCCUGAUGCAGCAACGCCGCGUGCGGGAUGACGGCCUUCGGGUUGGAAACCGCUUUCAGCAGGGGCGAAGCUGGUGGUGACGGUACCUGCAGAAGAAGCACCGGCUAACUACGUG
This 465-nucleotide ribosomal RNA is filed under the name uncultured bacterium. RNAcentral describes it as "partial 16S ribosomal RNA". It matches the Rfam family "Bacterial small subunit ribosomal RNA", at positions 28 to 507 of the family's 1533-position model. The record is from RNAcentral.